RNAcentral lists this ribosomal RNA (305 nucleotides) under uncultured bacterium. RNAcentral describes it as "bacterial SSU rRNA". It matches the Rfam family "Bacterial small subunit ribosomal RNA", at positions 338 to 658 of the family's 1533-position model. The record is from RNAcentral.
CCUACGGGAGGCAGCAGUGGGGAAUAUUGGGCAAUGGGCGCAAGCCUGACCCAGCAACGCCGCGUGAAGGAAGAAGGCUUUCGGGUUGUAAACUUCUUUUAAGAGGGAAGAGCAGAAGACGGUACCUCUUGAAUAAGCCACGGCUAACUACGUGCCAGCAGCCGCGGUAAUACGUAGGGAGCAAGCGUUAUCCGGAUUUACUGGGUGUAAAGGGCGCGUAGGCGGGAUGGCAAGUCAGAUGUGAAAUCCGGGGGCUCAACCCCUGAACUGCAUUUGAAACUGUCGUUCUUGAGUACUGGAGAGGU